Molecule: ribosomal RNA, 254 nt
Filed under: uncultured bacterium
Lineage: Bacteria
Description: partial 16S ribosomal RNA
Rfam family: Bacterial small subunit ribosomal RNA
Source: RNAcentral
UACGGAGGGGACUAGCGUUGUUCGGAAUUACUGGGCGUAAAGCGCACGUAGGCGGAUUUGUAAGUCAGGGGUGAAAUCCCGGGGCUCAACCUCGGAACUGCCUUUGAUUACUGCAAAUCUCGAGUCCGGAAGAGGUGAGUGGAAUUCCUAGUGUAGAGGUGAAAUUCGUAGAUAUUAGGAAGAACACCAGUGGCGAAGGCGGCUCACUGGUCCGGUACUGACGCUGAGGUGCGAAAGCGUGGGGAGCAAACAGG